This 372-nucleotide unclassified non-coding RNA is filed under the name Hevea brasiliensis (rubber tree). The record is from RNAcentral. Lineage: Eukaryota; Viridiplantae; Streptophyta; Magnoliopsida; Malpighiales; Euphorbiaceae.
AAUUGCUGCCUUGAAUCACAUAAGGUUUGGCUUUUGUUUUCUUAUUCAAAAUUUGAAUUGAAUUGACAUACUUGGGUGGAGAAUAUCUGACUUCAAUUCUGUACUGUGUUCCUGUGGUGGCUGGAAUGUCAUAGAUGCUCUGGGUGACUGGGUGUAUGGUUGAAUUAAUAUGGCUUCAUAUAUUUCAACCUAGUAACAGAGUUUGGAGAAUUCUUAAUACAUUGUAGAUUGGACUUCAAUAAGUAAUAAAUCAACUAUUGGUUAGAAUUUCAUCUAAAAUCAAGCACUGUAUUAAACAAGUCAAAUAGUUCCUAAGUGCCGGAGCUUGAUCAUUAUUUUCUUAUUUUGCAGUGGAGGUGAUUGCAGCCUUAA